GUCUACGGCCAUACCACCCUGAAUGCGCCUGAUCUCGUCUAUCUCGGAAGCUAAGCAGGGUCGGGCCUGGUUAGUACUUGGAUGGGAGAAUGUGAUAAUAAUGCCACAUCUCUAGAAGGGUUGCUGUGGGGU
Molecule: ribosomal RNA, 132 nt
Filed under: Prolemur simus (greater bamboo lemur)
Lineage: Eukaryota; Metazoa; Chordata; Mammalia; Primates; Lemuridae
Source: RNAcentral